RNAcentral lists this long non-coding RNA (2992 nucleotides) under Zea mays. Its description in RNAcentral is "long non-coding RNA (ZMAY_LNC002964)". The record is from RNAcentral. Lineage: Eukaryota; Viridiplantae; Streptophyta; Magnoliopsida; Poales; Poaceae.
UUGGAGACUCGGUUGGGCUUGUGCAGCAGCAAGCAUCGCCUCAGCUAUUAGAAAUAUCCACAUAAAAUUAACAGAUUCAGCUCCUGCACCAUUCCAAGAAGCUGCAUUGAUUGCAUUAACAAGCACAGCAGAUUACUACAUAUCCCUGAGAAAAGUGAGCCUUAAUUCUAACCAUGCUUCUUUCAGUUUGAGCUGUCUUACCUUGCAAUUGUGAUGACUUUGGCUAGGACUAUGAGGUGAAAAGAGACUUCAUCCUUCUGUUGCUGAAAGACUUGGGCUUCAAAAUCAGCGUCAAGCCACAAGGUUCAGUAUUUGUGUUUGCUGAGCUGCCAAGGUCCUGCCAACUUUCAGAUGUGAGUUCCUUCGAUGAGAAAUAGAACUACAUCUGAGAGUUCCUUUAGAACACAAGAAUUUCACAGGAAUGAUAUAGGAAUUUCACAGAAAUUAGCACAAAAUACAGGAAAAACGUAGGAUUUGGAAAAAUAUCCUUUAAUCCAAAGGAGGCCUGAAGCAUUUUUCUCUAUACAGUGGAACUCAGAUAAGACCAUUUUUGUUGAGCUUAAAAUGAAACUCUGAAUUUGCUAAUGCUGGAAACGAAAAUCACUUUGUUUCUAGUGACACAAUAGCAUAAGUAGUUAGUAGCACGAGUUUGUAUUAUAUUGAUCUUAUGACUUCACACUACAAGCUUACACACAUUGCUUGAUCUUCACAAUCAAGCUCUACUAUCACACAUACACAUUAGCUUACUAUACACCAUACACUAGCUUGAUCUUCACAACCAGGCUUUAUCUUCUCUAUAUCUCAAACCCACUUCUACACAGGAGGAUUGCUGCCUCUUUUACAGGACUUUCAGGUCGGUUGCUACAGGAACCGACCUAAUAGUGCACAGCUCAAGUUCUCCUACUUGCUAGCUAAGCAACCUCUAAAAACCAGUUUUGCUUCAUUUUCGCCCCAGCAGCCUGCUUCUUGCAGUGGUAAACUUGGAGUUCACUAACAAGUAGCUAGUACUAGAAACGUCAUAGCUGCUGUCUUCAUGUAGCUUUCUCAUCCAUAAACCAUAUAGGCCUAUACAUGCUUGUUCAACACUAAUAUACCUCAACAACAACAUCAACAUAGCCUUUUAGUCCCAAGCAAGUUGGGAUAGACUAGAGUUGAAACCCAACAAAAUGAUAAAAUAAAUCCUAACAGCUAGUUGGUCCUUUUUUCCUGCACUAUGCAAUUCAGGUAGAAUUUGUGACAAAGUUGAUCAACGAUGCUGGUGUGGUUGCCGUGCCUGGCCGUGGGUUCUUCCACAAGACUUGUGACGGUGAAAGCUACUGCCACCGAUAUGUCAGGUUUGCGUUCUGCAAGGGCGACGACACACUUAAGGCUGCUGCCAUGAAGAUGAGGAAGCUGGCAAGCAGGCAGGGAGAACCAUGGCUUACUGGCAGACAAUAGGAUAAGACUAUGCCCUCCUCUAAUUGAUCAAAACCCUUAGAUUUAUUCCUCUUUUUAGUUUCUGGAUACAACUUUGAUGCCAUGUCACACGGCCCAUGAAAGUGUAACAGCUAGUUGCAUCCUUUUCCCAUAAAAGUGUAAGGGCAUGUACAACCUAGAACCCACUUCACGGUUCUCCAAGCGCAAGACACACCUAAGACAGUUUCAUACAGUGGGUUGUAUCUUAGAUUAAAUGCUUUAAUAAAUGCAUUGUAUUUACGUGUAUGAAAGUAUGAUUGAUCUAGUGUGCAUAUACACUUAGGUGCCGUUUGGUUUCCAAAAUGUAACGUAAAUGGUAAUGGUAACGGUUUGCAUUCGAUUAUCAGUGGUAACAAGUUUGAAUAGGCUGGUAUCAAUUUCUAGUGUGGUAUCCGAUUACGAUUGGACUUAAACAAACAUGAUUUAACGUUAUUUGUUACCGAUUACAUUACAAAUAUGUGAACCAAACAGCACCUUAGUCCAUGCAUUCACAUUUUCAGUUUCAGGUUGUAACACACAUGUUUCAGACUGCAUUCCCGUCUCAUUUUCUGAGAUACACAGUUUUAUGCUAAAUUCACAGAAACGUGACUGAAUCAUCACAGAACAUACUACAUAUGUCACAUACUGAAAACAUAACUGAAUCAUCAGAGAAACAUGGUUGAACCAUCAAUUUCGCACAAGCAUAUUCAAAACAUCCAUUAGCACAAAAUGAGGCCCUUUGUUUUCAUCCUCAUAGAACUUGUGUGCUUUUUCUAUCCACAUUUGAUCCAAAUACCUGCUAGUGAACAACCUUCUAGGCUUCAACGAACAGUCAUUGAACAUGUUUAUCCACUUAUUUAUCUUGUGCCACCUUCAACUAAAAUAGGUAGAUUGAAAUGGCAAUCUAGGGCUAAAACUGAAUUUAAUCUGGUACUGAAACUGUAUGCAAACCUGAAUUAAGUAAAUUGAAAUUGUAAUCUGGGCUGAAACUGAAUGUAAUCUAGGGCGGUUUACUAAAUGUAAUCUGGUGCUGAAACUAAAUAUAAACCUAAACUGGGUAAAUUGAAAUUGUUACUCUAAAAUAAUCAAUAAACUGAAAUGUAAACCUAAACCUAAAUAUACAUUCAUUCAAACUGGGUUUAGGGUUGAUCAUCCUUUAGAAAUUAAUCAAUAAACUGUUGUACAGUCUCUAAACAACUUGUAUUACCUUUGAAGCAAAUCAGAGAAAGAAGGUGAUGUACGUGAUGGGGGCAUGAAAGAGCAGCAGAGGACCCUGGGCACCGGUGAAGCCCACCUGGUUGCCGACGGGGGAGGGAACUCUGGAGCCAAACGGGGUUGUUGUUGAUGGGCGGGUCGACGUUGACGACGGAGCUAGGGGCGACAAUAGCCAGAGGACGGGGCAACGAUGACUGGCCAUGGCGAUCUGGUGGGUUGCGGUAGCGGUAGAAUGGAUUUAGGCACGAGAGUAGAAGAUGCAACAGAUGCGGAGAAGAGAGUUCGCGUACCACAGUGGAUCGGGAAGAAACGACAUUCAUCGUACAAUGCAGGCACGGUUUCG